Molecule: unclassified non-coding RNA, 186 nt
Filed under: plant metagenome
Description: partial contains small subunit ribosomal RNA and internal transcribed spacer 1
Rfam family: Eukaryotic small subunit ribosomal RNA (bases 1-47)
Source: RNAcentral
AAGUCGUAACAAGGUUUCCGUAGGUUGAACCUGCGGAAGGAUCAUUACCGUGGGGCUUCGGCCCCCAUUGAGAUAGCACCCUUUUGUUUUAUGAGUACCCCUUGUUUUCCUCGGCGGGCUUGCCCGCCAGUAGGACAUUAAAACCCUUUGCAGUAGUAGUAACUUCAGUUAAAACAAAUAUUAAAA